GAUGAACGCUGGCGGCGUGCCUAAUACAUGCAAGUCGAGCGAACGGACGAGAAGCUUGCUUCUCUGAUGUUAGCGGCGGACGGGUGAGUAACACGUGGAUAACCUACCUAUAAGACUGGGAUAACUUCGGGAAACCGGAGCUAAUACCGGAUAAUAUUUUGAACCGCAUGGUUCAAAAGUGAAAGACGGUCUUGCUGUCACUUAUCGAUGGAUCCGCGCUGCAUUAGCUAGUUGGUAAGUUAACGGCUUACCAAGGCAACGAUGCAUAGCCGACCUGAGAGGGUGAUCGGCCACACUGGAACUGAGACACGGUCCAGACUCCUACGGGAGGCAGCAGUAGGGAAUCUUCCGCAAUGGGCGAAAGCAUGACGGAGCAACGCCGCGUGAGUGAUGAAGGUCUUCGGAUCGUAAAACUCUGUUAUUAGGGAAGAACAUAUGUGUAAGUAACUGUGCACAGCUUGACGGUACCUAAUCAGAAAGCCACGGCUAACUACGUG
RNAcentral lists this ribosomal RNA (497 nucleotides) under uncultured bacterium. RNAcentral describes it as "partial 16S ribosomal RNA". It matches the Rfam family "Bacterial small subunit ribosomal RNA", at positions 28 to 507 of the family's 1533-position model. The record is from RNAcentral.